This 406-nucleotide ribosomal RNA is filed under the name uncultured bacterium. Its description in RNAcentral is "partial 16S ribosomal RNA". It matches the Rfam family "Bacterial small subunit ribosomal RNA", at positions 29 to 526 of the family's 1533-position model. The record is from RNAcentral.
AUUGAACGCUGGCGGCAGGCCUAACACAUGCAAGUCGAGCGAGUGGCGGACGGGUGAGUAAUGUCUGUGAAACUGCCUGAUUGAGGGGGAUAACUACUGGAAACGGUAGCUAUUACCACAUACUAUCGGAUGUACCCAGAUGGGAUUAGCUAGUAGGUGGGGUAAAGGCUCACCUAGGAGACGAUCCCUAGCUGGGCUGAGAGGAUGAUCAGGGAUCCCAUGAAUGAGAGACGGCACAGACUCAGACGGGAGGAAGGAGAGGGGAAGAUUGCACAAUUGGCGGAAGGCUGAUGCAGGCAUGCCGGGUGUAGGAAGGAGGCCUGAGGGUUGUGGUGUACAUUCAGCGUGGAGGAGUUACCCGAAGAAGAAGCACCGGCUAACUCCGUGCCAGCAGCCGCGGUAAUAC